AUUGAACGCUGGCGGCAUGCCUUACACAUGCAAGUCGAACGGCAGCAUGGAAGAGCUUGCUCUUCUGAUGGCGAGUGGCGAACGGGUGAGUAAAGCAUCGGAACGUACCGUGUAGUGGGGGAUAACGUAGCGAAAGUUACGCUAAUACCGCAUACGCACUGAGGUGGAAAGCAGGGGAUCGCAAGACCUUGCGCUAUACGAGCGGCCGAUGUCAGAUUAGGUAGUUGGUGAGGUAAAGGCUCACCAAGCCAACGAUCUGUAGCUGGUCUGAGAGGACGACCAGCCACACUGGAACUGAGACACGGUCCAGACUCCUACGGGAGGCAGCAGUGGGGAAUUUUGGACAAUGGACGCAAGUCUGAUCCAGCCAUUCCGCGUGCAGGACGAAGGCCUCGGUUGGUAAACUAGUCUUUGUUACUAGAACGAAAAGGUAC
RNAcentral lists this ribosomal RNA (434 nucleotides) under uncultured bacterium. RNAcentral describes it as "bacterial SSU rRNA". It matches the Rfam family "Bacterial small subunit ribosomal RNA", at positions 30 to 457 of the family's 1533-position model. The record is from RNAcentral.